GAAAACCUAUACUUUGUUUCGGGCAAGUUCCCCAUUCAAAUGCAUGUAACAGUGAGAAACGCACUGUCUUGGCGAAAGAAAGCGUUUUUGUACAACUUCAUAGAAAUAGCUGUAACUUUUGAUAGAAGACUCAGACAAACAUGUUUAUGGCCUUAUCUUAUAGAACUCAAGGUCUCCGUGCUGGGAAAACAGGUUUUGCAGCUGUUUGAGCUAAGAUUUCCAAGUUAUUCACAUAAUGAAAACCUAUACUUUGUUUCGGUCGAGUUCCCCAUUCAAAUGCAUGUAACAGUGAGAAACGCACUGUCUUGGCGAAAGAAAGCGUUUUUGUACAACUUCAUAGAAAUAGCUGUAACUUUUGAUAGAAGACUCGGAUACACAUGUUUAUGGCUUUAUCUUAUAGAACUCAAGGUCCCCGUGCUGGGCAAACAGGUUUUGCAGCUGUUUGAGCUAAGAUUUUCAAGUUAUUCACAUAAUGAAAACCUAUACUUUGUUUCAGGCGAGAACUCCAUUCAAAUGCAUGUAAUAGCGAGAAACGCACUAAC
This is a long non-coding RNA of Astatotilapia calliptera (eastern happy), 542 nucleotides long. The record is from Ensembl. Lineage: Eukaryota; Metazoa; Chordata; Actinopteri; Cichliformes; Cichlidae.